Molecule: unclassified non-coding RNA, 323 nt
Filed under: uncultured fungus
Lineage: Eukaryota; Fungi
Description: partial contains small subunit ribosomal RNA, internal transcribed spacer 1, and 5.8S ribosomal RNA
Rfam family: Eukaryotic small subunit ribosomal RNA (bases 1-73)
Source: RNAcentral
GCAAACUUGGUCAUUUAGAGGAAGUAAAAGUCGUAACAAGGUCUCCGUUGGUGAACCAGCGGAGGGAUCAUUACUGAGUCACGUGCUCAAAUAACCCUUCUGUGGACUUGUUCUAAACCGUUGCCUCGGCGGGCGGUCCCGCGUCAACCCCACGUGGGUGGGCGGGGGACCUGACAGUUUCCGGUACGCCUAAAGGCGUCUGGCGCCAGCCGCUGGCCCUAAAUUAAACUCUUGUAACAUUACCUUCUGAGUUAUUAUACAAAAAAUAAGUCAAAACUUUCAACAACGGAUCUCUUGGCUCUGGCAUCGAUGAAGAACGCAGC